CAGGACUGUUACUUUGAAAAAUUAGAGUGUUUAAAGCAGGCUAACGCCUGAAUACAUUAGCAUGGAAUAAUGAAAUAGGACGUUUGAUCCUAUUUUGUUGGUUUCUAGGAUUGACGUAAUGAUUAAUGGGGAUAGUUGGGGGCAUUAGUAUUCAAUUGUCAGAGGUGAAAUUCUUGAAUUUAUUGAAGACUAACUACUGCGAAAAGCAUUUUGCCAAGGAUGUUUUCAUUAAUCAAGAACGAAAGUUAGGGGAUCGAAGACGAUCAGAUACCGUCGUAGUCUUAACCAUAAACUAUGCCGACUAGGGAUCGGAUGAUGUUAAUUUUUAAUGACUCAUUCGGCGCCUUACG
Molecule: ribosomal RNA, 350 nt
Filed under: uncultured Glomus
Lineage: Eukaryota; Fungi; Glomeromycota; Glomeromycetes; Glomerales; Glomeraceae
Description: SSU rRNA
Rfam family: Eukaryotic small subunit ribosomal RNA
Source: RNAcentral